This 492-nucleotide ribosomal RNA is filed under the name uncultured bacterium. RNAcentral's name for it is "partial 16S ribosomal RNA". It matches the Rfam family "Bacterial small subunit ribosomal RNA", at positions 29 to 507 of the family's 1533-position model. The record is from RNAcentral.
AGUGAACGCUGGCGGUAGGCCUAACACAUGCAAGUCGAACGGCAGCACAGUAAGAGCUUGCUCUUACGGGUGGCGAGUGGCGGACGGGUGAGGAAUACAUCGGAAUCUACUUUUUCGUGGGGGAUAACGUAGGGAAACUUACGCUAAUACCGCAUACGACCUACGGGUGACAGCAGGGGAUCUUCGGACCUUGCGCGAUUGAAUGAGCCGAUGUCGGAUUAGCUAGUUGGCGGGGUAAAGGCCCACCAAGGCGACGAUCCGUAGCUGGUCUGAGAGGAUGAUCAGCCACACUGGAACUGAGACACGGUCCAGACUCCUACGGGAGGCAGCAGUGGGGAAUAUUAGACAAUGGGCGCAAGCCUGAUCCAGCCAUACCGCGUGGGUGAAGAAGGCCUUCGGGUUGUAAAGCCCUUUUGUUGGGAAAGAAAAGCAGCAGGUUAAUACCCCGCUGUUUUGACGGUACCCAAAGAAUAAGCACCGGCUAACUUCGUG